RNAcentral lists this ribosomal RNA (1009 nucleotides) under uncultured Bacillus sp. Its description in RNAcentral is "bacterial SSU rRNA". It matches the Rfam family "Bacterial small subunit ribosomal RNA", at positions 324 to 1324 of the family's 1533-position model. The record is from RNAcentral. Lineage: Bacteria; Bacillati; Bacillota; Bacilli; Caryophanales; Bacillaceae.
ACACGGCCCAGACUCCUACGGGAGGCAGCAGUAGGGAAUCUUCCGCAAUGGACGAAAGUCUGACGGAGCAACGCCGCGUGAGUGAUGAAGGUUUUCGGAUCGUAAAGCUCUGUUGUUAGGGAAGAACAAGUGCAAGAGUAACUGCUUGCACCUUGACGGUACCUAACCAGAAAGCCACGGCUAACUACGUGCCAGCAGCCGCGGUAAUACGUAGGUGGCAAGCGUUGUCCGGAAUUAUUGGGCGUAAAGGGCUCGCAGGCGGUUUCUUAAGUCUGAUGUGAAAGCCCCCGGCUCAACCGGGGAGGGUCAUUGGAAACUGGGAAACUUGAGUGCAGAAGAGGAGAGUGGAAUUCCACGUGUAGCGGUGAAAUGCGUAGAGAUGUGGAGGAACACCAGUGGCGAAGGCGACUCUCUGGUCUGUAACUGACGCUGAGGAGCGAAAGCGUGGGGAGCGAACAGGAUUAGAUACCCUGGUAGUCCACGCCGUAAACGAUGAGUGCUAAGUGUUAGGGGGUUUCCGCCCCUUAGUGCUGCAGCUAACGCAUUAAGCACUCCGCCUGGGGAGUACNGNGUCGCAAGACUGAAACUCAAAGGAAUUGACGGGGGCCCGCGCAAGCGGUGGAGCAUGUGGUUUAAUUCGAAGCAACGCGAAGAACCUUACCAGGUCUUGACAUCCUCUGACAACCCUAGAGAUAGGGCUUUCCCUUCGGGGACAGAGUGACAGGUGGUGCAUGGUUGUCGUCAGCUCGUGUCGUGAGAUGUUGGGUUAAGUCCCGCAACGAGCGCAACCCUUGAUCUUAGUUGCCAGCAUUUAGUUGGGCACUCUAAGGUGACUGCCGGUGACAAACCGGAGGAAGGUGGGGAUGACGUCAAAUCAUCAUGCCCCUUAUGACCUGGGCUACACACGUGCUACAAUGGACAGAACAAAGGGCUGCGAGACCGCAAGGUUUAGCCAAUCCCACAAAUCUGUUCUCAGUUCGGAUCGCAGUCUGCAACUCGACUGCGUGAA